This 23-nucleotide non-coding RNA is filed under the name Cricetulus griseus (Chinese hamster). The record is from RNAcentral. Lineage: Eukaryota; Metazoa; Chordata; Mammalia; Rodentia; Cricetidae.
AGUGACAGAAGCCAUCGUCCGCA